AUUGAACGCUGGCGGCAGGCCUAACACAUGCAAGUCGGACGGUAGCACAGAGAGCUUGCUCUUGGGUGACGAGUGGCGGACGGGUGAGUAAUGUCUGGGGAUCUGCCCGAUAGAGGGGGAUAACCACUGGAAACGGUGGCUAAUACCGCAUAACGUCGCAAGACCAAAGAGGGGGACCUUCGGGCCUCUCACUAUCGGAUGAACCCAGAUGGGAUUAGCUAGUAGGCGGGGUAAUGGCCCACCUAGGCGACGAUCCCUAGCUGGUCUGAGAGGAUGACCAGCCACACUGGAACUGAGACACGGUCCAGACUCCUACGGGAGGCAGCAGUGGGGAAUAUUGCACAAUGGGCGCAAGCCUGAUGCAGCCAUGCCGCGUGUAUGAAGAAGGCCUUCGGGUUGUAAAGUACUUUCAGCGGGGAGGAAGGCGGUACGGUUAAUAACCGUACCGAUUGACGUUACCCGCAGAAGAAGCACCGGCUAACUCCGUGCCAGCAGCCGCAGUAA
This 504-nucleotide ribosomal RNA is filed under the name uncultured bacterium. RNAcentral describes it as "partial 16S ribosomal RNA". It matches the Rfam family "Bacterial small subunit ribosomal RNA", at positions 29 to 523 of the family's 1533-position model. The record is from RNAcentral.